Molecule: ribosomal RNA, 505 nt
Filed under: Candida albicans
Lineage: Eukaryota; Fungi; Ascomycota; Pichiomycetes; Serinales; Debaryomycetaceae
Description: eukaryotic LSU rRNA
Rfam family: 5.8S ribosomal RNA (bases 137-290)
Source: RNAcentral
AGUUUGCUAUUGCACCACAUGUGUUUUUCUUUGAAACAAACUUGCUUUGGCGGUGGGCCCAGCCUGCCGCCAGAGGUCUAAACUUACAACCAAUUUUUUAUCAACUUGUCACACCAGAUUAUUACUUAAUAGUCAAAACUUUCAACAACGGAUCUCUUGGUUCUCGCAUCGAUGAAGAACGCAGCGAAAUGCGAUACGUAAUAUGAAUUGCAGAUAUUCGUGAAUCAUCGAAUCUUUGAACGCACAUUGCGCCCUCUGGUAUUCCGGAGGGCAUGCCUGUUUGAGCGUCGUUUCUCCCUCAAACCGCUGGGUUUGGUGUUGAGCAAUACGACUUGGGUUUGCUUGAAAGACGGUAGUGGUAAGGCGGGAUCGCUUUGACAAUGGCUUAGGUCUAACCAAAAACAUUGCUUGCGGCGGUAACGUCUACCACGUAUAUCUUCAAACUUUGACCUCAAAUCAGGUAGGACUACCCGCUGAACUUAAGCAUAUCAAUAAGCGGAGGAAU